Non-coding RNA from Peromyscus maniculatus bairdii (prairie deer mouse), 1076 nucleotides. The record is from RefSeq and is a predicted model, not a curated record. NCBI's taxonomy places the organism in Eukaryota, Metazoa, Chordata, Mammalia, Rodentia, Cricetidae.
UAGACUAAUGCACCUCCCAGGACCUGGUAUGUAGCUACUGAUUUUGCAAAUGCUUUUUCUCCUCCAUGUCUGCCCAUAAGAACCAUCAAAAGCAAUUUUCUUUUAGCUUGCAAGGCCAGAAGGACAUCUCUACAGUUCUGUCCAAAGGAUCUGCAUGAGGGCUUUUUUUUAUUUCUCUACCAACUCAAACCACAUAUCACAACAGACUAUUGAAGCAUUUGUGACAGUCCACAAAGAGCCUGUAUUAAGCCCAAAUUAAACAACAAUUAAAAAGAUAAGAAGAAAAAAUUUAAAAAUAUAGCAGAUUUUUGGAGGAACUCAUCUAAGAGGUCAAUCAGCCUUCUAAGGAGAUAUUUUGAAGGGGGAACUCUGGGAACUCUGGAAACAUUCUGCCAUGGCAAUGCCCUUUGAGGAAAUCAGUGCUAAAGAAAAAGAAAAUGCUUUCAGAUGAGUGUUGUAGGAUGAUAUUCUCCAAGCAUAAUAUUUGUCAUCCUCAUCAGAACAGCUGUGACUGUUUGCAAGAGACCCAUGAGAUCAGGCCUGUUGACAGAUGAUGUUCCCUCACAGAAGGAGAUGGUUACAAAGGGUCACUGGGUGCUCACCUGAGGAUCCUGCACCUCCCCAUCAUUUAGAUAAAUAUUCAUUUGGAACCACGAGAGACCCUGGAUAGCCAAAGCAAUUCUGAACAAAAAUGACAAUGCAAGAGGGAUUAUCAUUCCACAUUUCAAGAUAUAUUAUUAUGUAGAAAAGCACAGUUAAAAAAAACAAAAACAAAAACAGUGAUACUGACAAAAACGGGCACGUCAACUAAUGGAACAAAAUAGAAAACUCAAACAUGAGUACAUACAAUUAUAGCCACUUAAUAUUUGAAAAAGAAAACUGGACGUCCAAAAGCAGAAGAAUGAAAUUAGAGCUGUAUUUAUCACCUUGCACAAAAACUAACUCUAAAACUCUAAAUGGAUCAGAGACCUAAACCUGAAACCUGAAACCCUGAAAUUCCUAGAAGAAAACAUAGGUAGUGUCGUAGUCUCUGUUCUAUUGCUAUGAAAAGACACCAUGACCACAGAAACUCUUAU